Molecule: ribosomal RNA, 635 nt
Filed under: Lysobacteraceae bacterium Ri1Pw_5521
Lineage: Bacteria; Pseudomonadati; Pseudomonadota; Gammaproteobacteria; Lysobacterales; Lysobacteraceae
Description: bacterial SSU rRNA
Rfam family: Bacterial small subunit ribosomal RNA
Source: RNAcentral
AGCCUGAUCCAGCCAUGCCGCGUGUGUGAAGAAGGCCUUCGGGUUGUAAAGCACUUUUGUUGGGAAAGAAAAGCAGUCGGUUAAUACCCGAUUGUUCUGACGGUACCCAAAGAAUAAGCACCGGCUAACUUCGUGCCAGCAGCCGCGGUAAUACGAAGGGUGCAAGCGUUACUCGGAAUUACUGGGCGUAAAGCGUGCGUAGGUGGUUUGUUAAGUCUGAUGUGAAAGCCCUGGGCUCAACCUGGGAAUUGCAUUGGAUACUGGCAGGCUAGAGUGCGGUAGAGGAUGGCGGAAUUCCCGGUGUAGCAGUGAAAUGCGUAGAGAUCGGGAGGAACAUCCGUGGCGAAGGCGGCCAUCUGGACCAGCACUGACACUGAGGCACGAAAGCGUGGGGAGCAAACAGGAUUAGAUACCCUGGUAGUCCACGCCCUAAACGAUGCGAACUGGAUGUUGGGUGCAAUUUGGCACUCAGUAUCGAAGCUAACGCGUUAAGUUCGCCGCCUGGGGAGUACGGUCGCAAGACUGAAACUCAAAGGAAUUGACGGGGGCCCGCACAAGCGGUGGAGUAUGUGGUUUAAUUCGAUGCAACGCGCAGAACCUUACCUGGCCUUGACAUGCACGGAACUUUCCAGAGA